Molecule: ribosomal RNA, 754 nt
Filed under: uncultured bacterium
Lineage: Bacteria
Description: bacterial SSU rRNA
Rfam family: Bacterial small subunit ribosomal RNA
Source: RNAcentral
AGUUUGAUCCUGGCUCAGAUUGAACGCUGGCGGCAGGCUUAACACAUGCAAGUCGAGCGGAAACGAAGGUAGCUUGCUACCAGACGUCGAGCGGCGGACGGGUGAGUAAUGCUUAGGAAUCUACCGAGUAGUGGGGGAUAGCCAUUGGAAACGAUGAUUAAUACCGCAUAUAUCCUACGGGGGAAAGCAGGGGACCUUCGGGCCUUGCGCUAUUCGAUGAGCCUGAGUGAGAUUAGCUAGUUGGUGGGGUAAAGGCCUACCAAAGCGACGAUCUCUAGCUGGUCUGAGAGGAUGAUCAGCCACACUGGGACUGAGACACGGCCCAGACUCCUACGGGAGGCAGCAGUGGGGAAUAUUGCACAAUGGACGAAAGUCUGAUGCAGCCAUGCCGCGUGUGUGAAGAAGGCCUUCGGGUUGUAAAGCACUUUCAGCGAGGAGGAAAGGUCAGUAAGUAAUAUUUGCUGGCUGUGACGUUACUCGCAGAAGAAGCACCGGCUAAUUUAGUGCCAGCAGCCGCGGUAAUACUAAAGGUGCAAGCGUUAAUCGGAAUUACUGGGCGUAAAGCGCGCGUAGGUGGUUUGUUAAGUUGGAUGUGAAAGCCCAGGGCUCAACCUUGGAACUGCAUUCGAAACUGACUCACUAGAGUACGAGAGAGGUUAGUGGAAUUUCCUGUGUAGCGGUGAAAUGCGUAGAGAUGGGAAGGAACACCAGUGGCGAAGCGACUGACUGGCUCGAUACUGACACUGAGUGCGAA